UACGGAGGGUGCAAGCGUUACCCGGAAUCAUUGGGCGUAAAGCGUCCGUAGGCGGUUUGUUAAGUUAAGUAUUAAAUCUCGUAGCCCAACUCCGAGGCUGUACUUAAAACUAGCAAACUAGAGACUUCCAGAGGUGCGUGGAAUUCUGUGUGUAGGGGUAAAAUCCGUAGAUACACAGAGGAACACCAAAAGCGAAGGCAGCGCACUGGGGAAGUUCUGACGCUCAGGGACGAAAGCGUGGGGAGCGAACGGG
Molecule: ribosomal RNA, 253 nt
Filed under: uncultured bacterium
Lineage: Bacteria
Description: partial 16S ribosomal RNA
Rfam family: Bacterial small subunit ribosomal RNA
Source: RNAcentral